This 253-nucleotide ribosomal RNA is filed under the name uncultured bacterium. RNAcentral's name for it is "partial 16S ribosomal RNA". It matches the Rfam family "Bacterial small subunit ribosomal RNA", at positions 524 to 776 of the family's 1533-position model. The record is from RNAcentral.
UACGUAGGGGGCAAGCGUUGUCCGGAAUUAUUGGGCGUAAAGAGCGUGUAGGCGGUCCGGUAAGUCAGCUGUGAAAGUCAAGGGCUCAACCCUUGAAAGCCGGUUGAUACUGUCGGGCUAGAGUCCGGAAGAGGCGAGUGGAAUUCCCGGUGUAGCGGUGAAAUGCGCAGAUAUCGGGAGGAACACCAAUGGUGAAGGCAGCUCGCUGGGACGGUACUGACGCUGAGACGCGAAAGCGUGGGGAGCAAACAGG